GCAUGACUCCACGCCCUGUUUUCCGGGGACCCACAUAGAAUUCCAGCCCUUCCACGCUGCUAUUACGUUCCGUUCGCGAGCAGAAGCUGGCUGCGGUGUCGUUUUCUCCGAUCAGUCGGACCUUGAUCAAUCUUUUCAACUGUCCUUGUUCUCGGGUUUUACGCAUUUGAUUGCAAUUGGAAUAGCUUGGAUUCGUGUGUGACCGUCGAUUCCACAAUUUUUUUCGACCGAAUUGGCUCUGAAGCAAUGGAUUGACUUCAGUUUUCCUUCAACCCCUCCACCAAGUUGAGAAAACAGUCUAACCUGCGGUCUCUCCAUACUUCGAGCUCACAAGCCAGCUAGCUACAUGUUUCAUCCGGACAGUUUCAAAAGUAGCUGGUACCGGAUGUUUUUAAACAUUUCGUAGGUGAAACAUUGAAGUUCUUGGUUUGUCUCAGAAGUGUAUGGAAAUAGGUGGCAGAGGAUUUUAAACACGGAUUUUCUCCGGGGUUCUUGAAGCCUGCAAACAUUUAUUUUUGAAAAGUGAUGGCGGAGCGGGGAGCAAGGUUGCUCCUCUCUCUCCUCUGUCUCACCUUUCUUUACUCGGCGACCACCGUGUCAAGACAUGCCGACAAAGCUCGAGCUACUAGGUCCUGCAGUGCACUACUAGCAGCCGACAUGGAGCAUUGACUUGUAGCUUCUAGACAUCUGCAGGCUACGACAUGGAGCAUUGACUUGUAGCUUCUAGACAUCUGCAGGCUACGACAUGGAGCAUUGACUUGUAGCUUCUAGACAUCUGCAGGCUAAUUAGUCAGCUGCAUUUCAGUCAACUAAGGGCCAAUGUUUUUGAACCAUUUGUUUGUUAGGAGUACUUUUCAGACCACAACAUGACCAUACAGGUGGUAAAACAAAUGAAAUGCGGUUGUUGUCGAGCCAUUUCAAGUGUUUAUUUAUGUAUUUGUUUUACCUUUUAGCUAUUAUGUCUGGAUUUAACUCCCACGUCACGUUUGUUUCUACGGUCAUAAUUGACAGAUUUAUUUAUUAUUCACUGAUUUAAAAACUCGGGUAGAUGCAUACAUGGAAAUAUUUGUCUGUAUAUUUGUCUUGUCUCAAAUCGACAUUUCGUUGCUUUGUAUUAUCACAGGUUCAGGUUGCUCGCUCUCUCAAAACCAUUACAGUCACGUCAUUAAUUGCAACGGAUGGCAAGAACCCGGCUCUAUAACCACAAAUUAAUGACUCUCAUUUGGGUUUACUGUCAAGCAAUAAGCUAGCAUCAUCAGUCCGCCAGACAUCUCAUUACCUGGGCGUCAAUACACGUUUGGCCGAUGGAUAGAAAGUACACAAUUUAUACCCCCCCCCC
This 1339-nucleotide long non-coding RNA is filed under the name Salmo salar (Atlantic salmon). Its description in RNAcentral is "lncRNA (ENSSSAG00000104169.1)". The record is from RNAcentral. Lineage: Eukaryota; Metazoa; Chordata; Actinopteri; Salmoniformes; Salmonidae.